AUGGAGAUAGAAGCGACACCGCUGAGCCCGCAGCAGCAAGCAUACAAUGACGGUGGCGGUUCGGACCAACGGGCCGGCGCCGGCACCGGCGCUAAACCACUCUACCGCAACCCCGUCGUGGUCGUCAACUUCCUCCUGAUGGCUGUUGGCACGGUGUGUGGCCCGCUCCUCUUUCGCGCCUACUUCCUCCACGGCGGCACGCGCAAGUGGCUCACCUGCCUGCUCCAGACCGCUGCGUGGCCGCUCCUGCUCCCGCCGCUCUGCGUCUCCUUCUUCUCCCGGCGCCGCCGGCAGCGCGAAGAGAGCGCCACGGAGGCCGCUCCUCUCUCCCUCAUGUCGGGCCGCCUCCUGGCCGCCACCGUGGCCAUCGGCCUCGUGAUCGGGAUCAUCGACUUCCUCUACGCGUACGGGCUGGCCUACCUCCCGGUGUCCACCUCGUCCAUCCUCGUCUCCACGCAGCUGGCCUUCACGGCCGUGUUCGCGCUGGUGGUGGUGCGCCAUCGGUUCACCGCUUUCUCCGUGAACGCGGUGGUGCUGCUCGUCGUGGGCGCCGCCAUGCUGGGGCUGAACGGCGGAGGGGACCGCCCCGCGGGGGUGUCCCGGGCGCAGUACUACGCCGGGUUCGCCAUGACGCUCGGGUCCGCGGCGCUGUAUGGCCUCGUGCUGCCCCUGAUGGAGCUCAGCCAGGCGCAGCACGCGGCGCGCGCCGGCGCGGCGGUCACGUACACGCUCGUCUUGGAGAUCCAGAUGGUGAUCGGGAUCACAGCCACGGCCUUCAGCGCCGUCGGCAUGCUCGUGAACCGCGAAUUCCACCAUCUCUUGAUCAAAUUAUACUUUGUCUGGCCAGACGAUGAUGGAUGCCGUGAUACUGAGAGGGCCCAAAGAAUAUUUGAUGAACCUGAAAUUCCAGACGAAGCUCGGAGGUUCGACCUCGGCGAGGCAGGCUACUACUUUAUGCUCGUUAGUUCAGCCACGGCUUUCCAGUGCUUCUUCAUCGGCACGAUUGGUGCCAUCUUCUACGGCUCGGCGCUGCUCGCCGGUGUCAUCAUGACAUUGCUCAUCUCUGUCACCGAGGUGUUUGCCGUCAUUUUCUUCCAUGAACCAUUCAAUGGCACCAAAGGUGUCGCCCUCGCGAUUUCUAUCUGGGGUUUCAUCUCCUACUUUUAUGGUGAGAUUCGGACCAAUGAGCAGCAGUCCAACACGUCAACGGAUAAGGAGCACUUGGACCCGUAG
This 1233-nucleotide ribosomal RNA is filed under the name Triticum aestivum (bread wheat). RNAcentral's name for it is "partial small subunit ribosomal RNA". The record is from RNAcentral. Lineage: Eukaryota; Viridiplantae; Streptophyta; Magnoliopsida; Poales; Poaceae.